This 96-nucleotide small RNA is filed under the name Flavobacterium branchiophilum. RNAcentral's name for it is "Flavo-1 RNA". The record is from RNAcentral. Lineage: Bacteria; Pseudomonadati; Bacteroidota; Flavobacteriia; Flavobacteriales; Flavobacteriaceae.
CCGCAGCCCGACCUGAGUGGAGCUCUUUUUUUCUUGCCGUGAGCGGUUAGUUGAUUUCGGCAAGAAAAAAAAGCGGGAACGGAGGGCGGAAUAGCU